GUCCUUCCUCAACCCCUUGGAUAAGAACCCCUGUCCUAGUGCCAGGGCCUCCUUAUGCAGAUCAUGCUCAUCAGGGGAGGAGAAUCCGAAAUGGAAAUUUGAAUGAUGUCACUCCUACAGGGAAUGCAAGAAAAGGAGAUAGGGCAAGGAGAUGGGGAAGGAAGGACCCCUUGGGAUGAAGUGUAUUCUGCUGCUGAGCAGAGAGGAGAAACGUGGAGAGAGGCUUGGGGGAAACCAGGAGGGGGUCAAGAAAUAACCCAAGGAAAGAAAUGGCAGAGUGGGUUUUCAUCACAGACCCUUUGAUGUCCUUUGAAAGACAGGAUUAAAAAUUGGAACUUGUGCCUCAUUGUUCCUGGAAACUGAUUGAAGGUUGGGUCACGCACGGGGAUCAGGAAUGUACUCAGAGGUUCCAUGCCUCUCUGAACCUCCUCUUGUCUUCUCAAAUGGUAGGAGCCAUUUUCGUCUUCCACCAUCAAUCCUGAUUUCCACUCCCUUGUGGAACUCCCCCUUCUGCAACUUACUUGUUGCAUAACUUGACAAUUAAUUGUUUUCCCUUCAGUAAUGGCUCUUGUCUUACAUUCUCUCUCUCUCUUUUUUAAGUUUGUUUUAAUUAGCUAUCUUUUUAUGGAUCUCCCUCUCUGGAAUGUCCCCACUGCCUGGCACGUUCCCCACAGUGAGCUAAUGAGUACCUUUAAUGAACUAGCAAUGGAUGCAUUUCAAAGUGCCCCCCUCCAUCUCUGACUGGGAUGCUUGUACAGAACACAUUGUCACCGUCCUCACAUAGACAUGUCCUGAGGGAGUCCUAGGUGCUAAAUGCCACACCACACUUAUCCUCAUAUACGUAUUCCUUCCUGGCAAAGCAAACCUGUGAGUCAGUUUGCUGAUCCCACAUCCGUGAUGGAGAAUGGCUAAUUAAUACACAGAGAUCUGGGAUUGAGCGUAGAGUUGACUCUCCAUUGUGGGUUUUGCAUCUGUUGAUCAAACAUGGAUUGUGAGGUGUAUGGACGUGUAGAUGCUCGUCAUUAUUUCCUAUAAAAUACAGCAUGACCACUACUCACAUAGCAUUUGCCUUGUAUUAGGAGUUAUAAAUAACCCAUAAAUGAUUUACAGUAUAUGCAAAGAUGUGUGUAGACCAUAUGCAAACGUCAUGCCAUUUUAUAGAAGGAAUUGAGCACCCAGAUUUUGAUAU
Molecule: long non-coding RNA, 1189 nt
Filed under: Marmota monax (woodchuck)
Lineage: Eukaryota; Metazoa; Chordata; Mammalia; Rodentia; Sciuridae
Source: RNAcentral